UACGUAGGUGGCAAGCGUUGUCCGGAUUUACUGGGCGUAAGGGCGUGCAGGCGGUUUGUUAAGUGCAGGGUGAAAGCUCCCGGCUCAACUGGGAGAGGUCCUUGCAUACUGGCAAACUCGAGGGAGGCAGAGGAAAGUGGAAUUCCCGGUGUAGUGGUGAUAUGCGUAGAUAUCGGGAGGAACACCUGUGGCGAAGGCGGCUUUCUGGGCCUUACCGUGACGCUG
RNAcentral lists this ribosomal RNA (225 nucleotides) under uncultured bacterium. RNAcentral's name for it is "partial 16S ribosomal RNA". It matches the Rfam family "Bacterial small subunit ribosomal RNA", at positions 524 to 748 of the family's 1533-position model. The record is from RNAcentral.